Molecule: ribosomal RNA, 495 nt
Filed under: uncultured bacterium
Lineage: Bacteria
Description: partial 16S ribosomal RNA
Rfam family: Bacterial small subunit ribosomal RNA
Source: RNAcentral
GACGAACGCUGGCGGCGUGCCUAAUACAUGCCAGUAGAACGCUGAAGGAGGAGCUUGCUUCUCUGGAUGAGUUGCGAACGGGUGAGUAACGCGUAGGUAACCUGCCUGGUAGCGGGGGAUAACUAUUGGAAACGAUAGCUAAUACCGCAUAACAGUAGAUAUCGCAUGAUAUCUACUUGAAAGGUGCAAUUGCAUCACUACCAGAUGGACCUGCGUUGUAUUAGCUAGUUGGUGAGGUAACGGCUCACCAAGGCGACGAUAAAUAGCCGACCUGAGAGGGUGAUCGGCCACACUGGGACUGAGACACGGCCCAGACUCCUACGGGAGGCAGCAGUAGGGAAUCUUCGGAAAUGGACGGAAGUCUGACCGAGCAACGCCGCGUGAGUGAAGAAGGGUUUCGGAUCGUAAAGAUCUGUUGUAAGAGAAGAAAGAGUGUGAGAGUGGAAAGUUCACACUGUGACGGUAUCUUAACAGAAAGGGACGGCUAACUACGUG